RNAcentral lists this ribosomal RNA (602 nucleotides) under Lactococcus lactis subsp. lactis. RNAcentral describes it as "bacterial SSU rRNA". It matches the Rfam family "Bacterial small subunit ribosomal RNA", at positions 57 to 650 of the family's 1533-position model. The record is from RNAcentral. Lineage: Bacteria; Bacillati; Bacillota; Bacilli; Lactobacillales; Streptococcaceae.
GNUUGUCGNGGAGAAUGNNGCUUGCACCAAUUUGAAGAGCAGCGAACGGGUGAGUAACGCGUGGGGAAUCUGCCUUUGAGCGGGGGACAACAUUUGGAAACGAAUGCUAAUACCGCAUAACAACUUUAAACAUAAGUUUUAAGUUUGAAAGAUGCAAUUGCAUCACUCAAAGAUGAUCCCGCGUUGUAUUAGCUAGUUGGUGAGGUAAAGGCUCACCAAGGCGAUGAUACAUAGCCGACCUGAGAGGGUGAUCGGCCACAUUGGGACUGAGACACGGCCCAAACUCCUACGGGAGGCAGCAGUAGGGAAUCUUCGGCAAUGGACGAAAGUCUGACCGAGCAACGCCGCGUGAGUGAAGAAGGUUUUCGGAUCGUAAAACUCUGUUGGUAGAGAAGAACGUUGGUGAGAGUGGAAAGCUCAUCAAGUGACGGUAACUACCCAGAAAGGGACGGCUAACUACGUGCCAGCAGCCGCGGUAAUACGUAGGUCCCGAGCGUUGUCCGGAUUUAUUGGGCGUAAAGCGAGCCCAGGUGGUUAUUAAGUCUGGGGUAAANGCAGUGGCUCAACCAUUGUAUGCAUUGNAACUGGUAGACUUGAGUGCA